RNAcentral lists this ribosomal RNA (748 nucleotides) under Staphylococcus sp. HFH0023. RNAcentral's name for it is "bacterial SSU rRNA". It matches the Rfam family "Bacterial small subunit ribosomal RNA", at positions 63 to 793 of the family's 1533-position model. The record is from RNAcentral. Lineage: Bacteria; Bacillati; Bacillota; Bacilli; Caryophanales; Staphylococcaceae.
CGAGCGAACGGACGAGAAGCUUGCUUCUCUGAUGUUAGCGGCGGACGGGUGAGUAACACGUGGAUAACCUACCUAUAAGACUGGGAUAACUUCGGGAAACCGGAGCUAAUACCGGAUAAUAUUUUGAACCGCAUGGUUCAAAAGUGAAAGACGGUCUUGCUGUCACUUAUAGAUGGAUCCGCGCUGCAUUAGCUAGUUGGUAAGGUAACGGCUUACCAAGGCAACGAUGCAUAGCCGACCUGAGAGGGUGAUCGGCCACACUGGAACUGAGACACGGUCCAGACUCCUACGGGAGGCAGCAGUAGGGAAUCUUCCGCAAUGGGCGAAAGCCUGACGGAGCAACGCCGCGUGAGUGAUGAAGGUCUUCGGAUCGUAAAACUCUGUUAUUAGGGAAGAACAUAUGUGUAAGUAACUGUGCACAUCUUGACGGUACCUAAUCAGAAAGCCACGGCUAACUACGUGCCAGCAGCCGCGGUAAUACGUAGGUGGCAAGCGUUAUCCGGAAUUAUUGGGCGUAAAGCGCGCGUAGGCGGUUUUUUAAGUCUGAUGUGAAAGCCCACGGCUCAACCGUGGAGGGUCAUUGGAAACUGGAAAACUUGAGUGCAGAAGAGGAAAGUGGAAUUCCAUGUGUAGCGGUGAAAUGCGCAGAGAUAUGGAGGAACACCAGUGGCGAAGGCGACUUUCUGGUCUGUAACUGACGCUGAUGUGCGAAAGCGUGGGGAUCAAACAGGAUUAGAUACCCUGGUAG